RNAcentral lists this ribosomal RNA (497 nucleotides) under uncultured bacterium. RNAcentral's name for it is "partial 16S ribosomal RNA". It matches the Rfam family "Bacterial small subunit ribosomal RNA", at positions 28 to 507 of the family's 1533-position model. The record is from RNAcentral.
GAUGAACGCUGGCGGCGUGCCUAAUACAUGCAAGUCGAGCGAACAGACGAGGAGCUUGCUCCUCUGACGUUAGCGGCGGACGGGUGAGUAACACGUGGAUAACCUACCUAUAAGACUGGGAUAACUUCGGGAAACCGGAGCUAAUACCGGAUAAUAUAUUGAACCGCAUGGUUCAAUAGUGAAAGACGGUUUUGCUGUCACUUAUAGAUGGAUCCGCGCCGCAUUAGCUAGUUGGUAAGGUAACGGCUUACCAAGGCAACGAUGCGUAGCCGACCUGAGAGGGUGAUUGGACACACGGGCACUGAGAAACGUCCGAGACUCUUACGGGAGGCAGCAGUAGGGAAUCUUCCGCAAUGGGCGAGAGCUGGACGGAGCAACGCCGCGGGAGGGAUGAAGGACUUCGGAUCGGAAAACGAUGUUAUUAGGGAAGAACAAAUGUGUAAGUAACUAUGAACGUCUUGACGGUACCUAAUCAGAAAGCCACGGCUAACUACGUG